AGCGAACGCUGGCGGCAGGCUUAACACAUGCAAGUCGAGCGGGCAUCCUUGUGGUGUCAGCGGCAGACGGGUGAGUAACGCGUGGGAACGUGCCCUUCGGUUCGGAAUAACUCAGGGAAACUUGAGCUAAUACCGGAUACGUGCGAGAGCAGAAAGGUUUAUCUGCCGAAGGAUCGGCCCGCGUCUGAUUAGCUAGUUGGUGAGGUUACGGCUCACCAAGGCGACGAUCAGUAGCUGGUCUGAGAGGAUGAUUAGCCACACUGGGACUGAGACACGGCCCAGACUCCUACGGGAGGCAGCAGUGGGGAAUAUUGGACAAUGGGGGCAACCCUGAUCCAGCCAUGCCGCGUGAGUGAUGACGGCCUUAGGGUUGUAAAGCUCUUUUCUCCGGGACGAUAAUGACGGUACCGGAGGAAUAAGCCCCGGCUAACUUCGUG
RNAcentral lists this ribosomal RNA (437 nucleotides) under uncultured bacterium. RNAcentral's name for it is "partial 16S ribosomal RNA". It matches the Rfam family "Bacterial small subunit ribosomal RNA", at positions 29 to 507 of the family's 1533-position model. The record is from RNAcentral.